CAAUAGCGUAUAUUAAAGUUGUUGCAGUUAAAAAGCUCGUAGUUGGAUUUCUGGUGGGAGCGAUCGGUCUGGCGCUUAGCGCGAGUACUUGUAUCGUCUCCGGCCAUCCUUGGGGAGAGUCUGUCUGGCAUUAGGUUGUCGGGCAGAGGAUCCUCAUCGUUUACUGUGAAAAAAUUAGAGUGUUCAAAGCAGGCUUAUGCCGUUGAAUAUAUUAGCAUGGAAUAAUAAGAUAGGACUUUGGUACUAUUUUGUUGGUUUGCGCACCAAAGUAAUGAUUAAUAGGGACAGUUGGGGGUAUUCGUAUUCCGUUGUCAGAGGUGAAAUUCUUGGAUUUACGGAAGACGAACUACUGCGAAAGCAUUUACCAAGGAUGUUUUCAUUAA
RNAcentral lists this ribosomal RNA (383 nucleotides) under uncultured eukaryote. RNAcentral's name for it is "partial 18S ribosomal RNA". It matches the Rfam family "Eukaryotic small subunit ribosomal RNA", at positions 592 to 976 of the family's 1831-position model. The record is from RNAcentral.